This 66-nucleotide transfer RNA is filed under the name Marmota monax (woodchuck). It matches the Rfam family "tRNA". Rfam says of the family: Transfer RNA (tRNA) molecules are approximately 80 nucleotides in length. The record is from Rfam by way of RNAcentral. Lineage: Eukaryota; Metazoa; Chordata; Mammalia; Rodentia; Sciuridae.
GGUGCAGUUCAGUGGUAGAGCACGUGCUCAGCAUGCAUGAGGCCCUGGGUUCCAUCCCCAGCACCA